CCUACGGGUGGCAGCAGUAGGGAAUCUUCCACAAUGGACGAAAGUCUGAUGGAGCAACGCCGCGUGAGUGAAGAAGGGUUUCGGCUCGUAAAGCUCUGUUGGCAGUGGAGAAAGAUAGAGGUAGUAACUGGCCUUUAUUUGACGGUAACUACUUAGAUAGUCACGGUUGACUACGUGCCAGCAGCUGCGGUAAUACGUAGGUGGCAAGCGUUGUCCGGAUUUAUUGGGCGUAAAGCGAGUGCAGGCGGUUCAAUAAGUUUGAUGUGAAAGGCUUCGGCGCAACCGGAGAAUUGCCGCAGAAACUGUUGAACUUGAGUGCAGGAGAGGAGCGAGGAACUCCAGGUGUAGCGGUGGAAUGCGUAGAUAUAUGGAAGAACACCGGUGGCGAAGGCGGCUCUCUGGUCUGCAACUGACGCUGAGGCUCGAAAGCAUGGGUAGCGAACAGGAUUAGAUACCCUAGUAGUC
RNAcentral lists this ribosomal RNA (465 nucleotides) under uncultured bacterium. Its description in RNAcentral is "partial 16S ribosomal RNA". It matches the Rfam family "Bacterial small subunit ribosomal RNA", at positions 338 to 795 of the family's 1533-position model. The record is from RNAcentral.